UCCAGGGUAGCCUAGUGGACAUGGCAUCUGUCCGGUAAGCGGAAGGUUGUGGGUUCGAUUCCCGCCCCUGGAC
Cordylochernes scorpioides is the source of this 73-nucleotide non-coding RNA. The record is from the annotation of a GenBank genome assembly. NCBI's taxonomy places the organism in Eukaryota, Metazoa, Arthropoda, Arachnida, Pseudoscorpiones, Chernetidae.